UCAGCAAUAUCUCUGGCGAUCCUCGACGUAGGCGCUGAGAGAAAUACACGAUCAGAAGACUCUUCGCGCAUUGAGGGGGGGAGUGUGGAAUACGCCCCGUCGAUAACUAAAGCCGACGCAGAUGACAAACCACACCUAACACCGUAAAGGGGAUUGUCAGUGACAAAAACAAAUCUAAAGAGGAAUUGAUACACUAUAAGAUAACUAUUGUUAAACGUAAACACGCAUAUCCUAUCCAUUAUCGAUUAAAUAUAUAAGUGCCCCCGUGUAGUGUAGCUGGUCUAAAAUAGGUGACUAAGGGAAGAAACUAAAACAGAACCAUUCGCCGACACUUAUCGACAUUCUAUCGUAGCACGGUAGAGAAGGGGUUCCACAUCCGUUUGAAACGGAACGCAGUUGCGAGAGGCGCAAGUACGAAGCUAGAUCACUAAAAGUAAGCUAAAAUUAAGGUAGAAUGAAAGAAAAUGUGCAAAUAUUCAAGAAAUUAUGUUUUCCAGGAAUUUUAUAAUUUUUCCCGAUCCACGACGAAUAAAUUCAUUGAAUUUCGAUCUA
This is a long non-coding RNA of Armigeres subalbatus, 552 nucleotides long. RefSeq lists it as uncharacterized. The transcript has 4 exons. NCBI's taxonomy places the organism in Eukaryota, Metazoa, Arthropoda, Insecta, Diptera, Culicidae. The record is from RefSeq and is a predicted model, not a curated record.